CCCUUAGAUGUUCUGGGCCGCACGCGCGCUACACUGAUGCAUUCAACGAGUUUCUUCCUGGUCCGAGAGGAAUGGGUAACCUUUUGAAAGUGCAUCGUGAUAGGGAUAGACUAUUGCAAUUAUUGGUCUUCAACGAGGAAUUCCUAGUAGACGUAGUUCAUCAGACUGCAUCGAUUACGUCCCUGCCCUUUGUACACACCGCCCGUCGCACCUACCGAUUGAAUGCUCAGGUGAGCCAUUCGGACUUUCAUCAUGCUGGUUUCCAGUUUUGAUGAAGGAAAGUCUUGCGAACCUUAUCAUUUAGAGGAAGGAGAAGUCGUAACA
This 324-nucleotide ribosomal RNA is filed under the name uncultured eukaryote. RNAcentral's name for it is "partial 18S ribosomal RNA". It matches the Rfam family "Eukaryotic small subunit ribosomal RNA", at positions 1470 to 1796 of the family's 1831-position model. The record is from RNAcentral.